UUGGAGGGCAAGUCUGGUGCCAGCAGCCGCGGUAAUUCCAGCUCCAAUAGCGUAUAUUAAAGUUGUUGCAGUUAAAAAGCUCGUAGUUGAAUUUCGGGGUUAGUAGGUUGGUCAUGCCUCUGGUAUGUACUGGUCUCACUGAUUCCUCCUUCCUGAUGAGCCGUAAUGCCAUUAAUUUGGUGUUGCGGGGAAUUUGGACUGUUACUUUGAAAAAAUUAGAGUGUUUAAAGCAAGCUAACGCUUGAAUACAUUAGCAUGGAAUAAUGAAAUAGGACGUUCGAUCCUAUUUUGUUGGUUUCUAGGAUUGACGUAAUGAUUAAUAGGGAUAGUUGGGGGCAUUAGUAUUCAAUUGUCAGAGGUGAAAUUCUUGGAUUUAUUGAAGACUAACUACUGCGAAAGCAUUUGCCAAGGAUGUUUUCAUUAAUCAAGAACGAAAGUUAGGGGAUCGAAGACGAUCAGAUACCGUCGUAGUCUUAACCAUAAACUAUGCCGACUAGGGAUCGGAUGAUGUUAAUUUUUUAAUGACUCAUUCGGCGCCUUAGGGGAAAC
This 549-nucleotide ribosomal RNA is filed under the name uncultured Glomeromycotina. RNAcentral's name for it is "SSU rRNA". It matches the Rfam family "Eukaryotic small subunit ribosomal RNA", at positions 548 to 1098 of the family's 1831-position model. The record is from RNAcentral. Lineage: Eukaryota; Fungi; Glomeromycota.